Molecule: ribosomal RNA, 658 nt
Filed under: Salmonella enterica
Lineage: Bacteria; Pseudomonadati; Pseudomonadota; Gammaproteobacteria; Enterobacterales; Enterobacteriaceae
Description: partial 23S ribosomal RNA
Rfam family: Bacterial large subunit ribosomal RNA
Source: RNAcentral
GAGGGGAGUGAAAAAGAACCUGAAACCGUGUACGUACAAGCAGUGGGAGCACCCUUUGGGGUGUGACUGCGUACCUUUUGUAUAAUGGGUCAGCGACUUAUAUUCUGUAGCAAGGUUAACCGUAUAGGGGAGCCGUAGGGAAACCGAGUCUUAACCGGGCGUUAAGUUGCAGGGUAUAGACCCGAAACCCGGUGAUCUAGCCAUGGGCAGGUUGAAGGUUGGGUAACACUAACUGGAGGACCGAACCGACUAAUGUUGAAAAAUUAGCGGAUGACCUGUGGCUGGGGGUGAAAGGCCAAUCAAACCGGGAGAUAGCUGGUUCUCCCCGAAAGCUAUUUAGGUAGCGCCUCGUGAAUUCAUCUCCGGGGGUAGAGCACUGUUUCGGCUAGGGGGCCAUCCCGGCUUACCAACCCGAUGCAAACUGCGAAUACCGGAGAAUGUUAUCACGGGAGACACACGGCGGGUGCUAACGUCCGUCGUGAAGAGGGAAACAACCCAGACCGCCAGCUAAGGUCCCAAAGUCAUGGUUAAGUGGGAAACGAUGUGGGAAGGCCCAGACAGCCAGGAUGUUGGCUUAGAAGCAGCCAUCAUUUAAAGAAAGCGUAAUAGCUCACUGGUCGAGUCGGCCUGCGCGGAAGAUGUAACGGGGCUAAACCAU